Molecule: ribosomal RNA, 253 nt
Filed under: uncultured bacterium
Lineage: Bacteria
Description: partial 16S ribosomal RNA
Rfam family: Bacterial small subunit ribosomal RNA
Source: RNAcentral
UACGUAGGGUGCGAGCGUUGUCCGGAAUUAUUGGGCGUAAAGGGCUCGUAGGCGGUCUGUCGCGUCGGGAGUGAAAACUCAGGGCUUAACCCUGAGCCUGCUUCCGAUACGGGCAGACUAGAGGUAUGCAGGGGAGAACGGAAUUCCUGGUGUAGCGGUGGAAUGCGCAGAUAUCAGGAGGAACACCGGUGGCGAAGGCGGUUCUCUGGGCAGUACCUGACGCUGAGGAGCGAAAGUGUGGGGAGCGAACAGG